UGGGGAAUAUUGGACAAUGGGCGCAAGCCUGAUCCAGCCAUGCCGCGUGUGUGAAGAAGGCCUUUUGGUUGUAAAGCACUUUAAGCGAGGAGGAGGCUACUUGGAUUAAUACUCUAGGAUAGUGGACGUUACUCGCAGAAUAAGCACCGGCUAACUCUGUGCCAGCAGCCGCGGUAAUACAGAGGGUGCGAGCGUUAAUCGGAUUUACUGGGCGUAAAGCGUGCGUAGGCGGCUUCUUAAGUCGGAUGUGAAAUCCCUGAGCUUAACUUAGGAAUUGCAUUCGAUACUGGGAAGCUAGAGUAUGGGAGAGGAUGGUAGAAUUACAGGUGUAGCGGUGAAAUGCGUAGAGAUCUGGAGGAAUACCGAUGGCGAAGGCAGCCAUCUGGCCUAAUACUGACGCUGAGGUACGAAAGCAUGGGGAGCAAACAGG
This 430-nucleotide ribosomal RNA is filed under the name bacterium. Its description in RNAcentral is "partial 16S ribosomal RNA". It matches the Rfam family "Bacterial small subunit ribosomal RNA", at positions 355 to 776 of the family's 1533-position model. The record is from RNAcentral.